AGAGUUUGAUCCUGGCUCAGAGCGAACGCUGGCGGCAGGCUUAACACAUGCAAGUCGAGCGGGCAUCUUCGGAUGUCAGCGGCAGACGGGUGAGUAACACGUGGGAACGUACCCUUCGGUUCGGAAUAACGCUGGGAAACUAGCGCUAAUACCGGAUACGCCCUUUUGGGGAAAGGUUUACUGCCGAAGGAUCGGCCCGCGUCUGAUUAGCUAGUUGGUGGGGUAACGGCCUACCAAGGCGACGAUCAGUAGCUGGUCUGAGAGGAUGAUCAGCCACACUGGGACUGAGACACGGCCCAGACUCCUACGGGAGGCAGCAGUGGGGAAUAUUGGACAAUGGGCGCAAGCCUGAUCCAGCCAUGCCGCGUGAGUGAUGAAGGCCUUAGGGUUGUAAAGCUCUUUUGUCCGGGACGAUAAUGACGGUACCGGAAGAAUAAGCCCCGGCUAACUUCGUGCCAGCAGCCGCGGUAAUACGAAGGGGGCUAGCGUUGCUCGGAAUCACUGGGCGUAAAGGGCGCGUAGGCGGCCAUUCAAGUCGGGGGUGAAAGCCUGUGGCUCAACCACAGAAUUGCCUUCGAUACUGUUUGGCUUGAGUAUGGUAGAGGUUGGUGGAACUGCGAGUGUAGAGGUGAAAUUCGUAGAUAUUCGCAAGAACACCGGUGGCGAAGGCGGCCAACUGGACCAUUACUGNNGCUGAGNNGCGAAAGCGUGGGGAGCAAACAGGAUUAGAUACCCUAGUAGUCC
This 744-nucleotide ribosomal RNA is filed under the name uncultured bacterium. RNAcentral's name for it is "bacterial SSU rRNA". It matches the Rfam family "Bacterial small subunit ribosomal RNA", at positions 8 to 796 of the family's 1533-position model. The record is from RNAcentral.